This 430-nucleotide ribosomal RNA is filed under the name uncultured bacterium. RNAcentral describes it as "bacterial SSU rRNA". It matches the Rfam family "Bacterial small subunit ribosomal RNA", at positions 355 to 775 of the family's 1533-position model. The record is from RNAcentral.
UGGGGAAUUUUUCGCAAUGGGCGCAAGCCUGACGAAGCAACGCCGCGUGGAGGAUGAAGGCCUUCGGGUUGUAAACUCCUGUCGACCGGGACGAAAGUAGUCCGACCUAAUACGUCAGGCUAUUGACUGUACCGGUGGAGGAAGCCACGGCUAACUCUGUGCCAGCAGCCGCGGUAAUACAGAGGUGGCAAGCGUUGUUCGGAAUUACUGGGCGUAAAGGGCGCGUAGGCGGUCUUCUAAGUCUUGUGUGAAAUCCCUCGGCUCAACUGAGGAACUGCACGGGAUACUGGAUGACUUGAGUUCGGGAGAGGGAAGCGGAAUUCCGGGUGUAGCGGUGAAAUGCGUAGAUAUCCGGAGGAACACCGGUGGCGAAGGCGGCUUCCUGGACCGAUUACUGACGCUGAGGCGCGAAAGCUAGGGGAGCAAACGG